This 285-nucleotide unclassified non-coding RNA is filed under the name plant metagenome. Its description in RNAcentral is "partial contains small subunit ribosomal RNA, internal transcribed spacer 1, and 5.8S ribosomal RNA". The stretch from base 1 to 54 matches the Rfam family "Eukaryotic small subunit ribosomal RNA", at positions 1778 to 1831 of the family's 1831-position model. The record is from RNAcentral.
GGAAGUAAAUGUCGUAACAAGGUUUCCGUAGGUGAACCUGCGGAAGGAUCAUUAUUGUAUAACCGAGGUGCGAGGGCUGUCGCUGACCCGAAAGGUCGUGCACGCCCGAGUGCCCUCACACACAUCCAUCUCACCCCUAUGUGCACCACCGCGUGGGUCCCCCUUUGGCUUGUUCGGAGGGGGGCUUACGUUUUCACACGAACUUUGUAUGCAGUGUAGAAUGUAUUUUUUGUUUUUGCGAUCACGCAAUCAAUACAACUUUCAACAACGGAUCUCUUGGCUCUC